GAUGAACGCUGGCGGCGUGCCUAAUACAUGCAAGUCGAGCGAAUGGAUUAAGAGCUUGCUCUUAUGAAGUUAGCGGCGGACGGGUGAGUAACACGUGGGUAACCUGCCCAUAAGACUGGGAUAACUCCGGGAAACCGGGGCUAAUACCGGAUAACAUUUUGAACCGCAUGGUUCGAAAUUGAAAGGCGGCUUCGGCUGUCACUUAUGGAUGGACCCGCGUCGCAUUAGCUAGUUGGUGAGGUAACGGCUCACCAAGGCAACGAUGCGUAGCCGACCUGGGAGGGUGAUCGGCCACACUGGGACGGAGACACGGCCCAGACUCCUACGGGAGGCAGCAGUAGGGAAUCUUCCGCAAUGGACGAAAGUCUGACGGAGCGACGCCGCGUGAGUGAUGAAGGCUUGCGGGUCGUAAAACUCUGUUGUUAGGGAAGAACAAGUGCUAGUUGAAUAAGCUGGCACCUUGACGGUACCUAACCAGAAAGCCACGGCUAACUACGUGCCAGCCGCCGCGGUAA
RNAcentral lists this ribosomal RNA (515 nucleotides) under uncultured bacterium. RNAcentral describes it as "partial 16S ribosomal RNA". It matches the Rfam family "Bacterial small subunit ribosomal RNA", at positions 28 to 523 of the family's 1533-position model. The record is from RNAcentral.